RNAcentral lists this ribosomal RNA (233 nucleotides) under uncultured bacterium. Its description in RNAcentral is "partial 16S ribosomal RNA". It matches the Rfam family "Bacterial small subunit ribosomal RNA", at positions 30 to 257 of the family's 1533-position model. The record is from RNAcentral.
AUUGAACGCUGGCGGCAGGCUUAACACAUGCAAGUCGAACGGUAACAGGGAGUAGCUUGCUACUUUGCUGACGAGUGGCGGACGGGUGAGUAAGGUAAGGGAAUUUGCCGAAUGGAGGGGGACAACAGUUGGAAACGGCUGCUAAUACCGCAUAACGUCGCGAGACCAAAGGGUGGGACUUCGGCCGACCUGCCAUUUGAUGAGCCCACUAUGAGAUUAGCUAGUUGGUGUGG